This 402-nucleotide ribosomal RNA is filed under the name uncultured bacterium. RNAcentral's name for it is "bacterial SSU rRNA". It matches the Rfam family "Bacterial small subunit ribosomal RNA", at positions 355 to 774 of the family's 1533-position model. The record is from RNAcentral.
UGGGGAAUAUUGCGCAAUGGGGGAAACCCUGAUGCAGCGACGCCGCGUGAACGAUGAAGCCCUUCGGGGUGUAAAGCUCUUUCGACCGGAACGAUAAUGACGGUACCGGGAGAAGAAGCUGCGGCUAACUACGUGCCAGCAGCCGCGGUAAUACGUAGGCAGCAAGCGUUGUUCGGAGUUACUGGGCGUAAAGAGUGCGUAGGCGGUUUUCUAAGUUCGGUGUGAAAUCUCCCGGCUUAACUGGGAGGGUGCGCCGAAGACUGGGAAGCUGGAGUGUGGGAAAGGCAGGCGGAAUUCCUGGUGUAGCGGUGAAAUGCGUAGAUAUCAGGAGGAACACCGGCGGUGUAGACGGCUUGCUAGACCAUAACUGACGCUGAGGCACGAAAGCGUGGGUAGCAAACA